GACGAACGCUGGUUGCGUGCUUAACACAUGCAAGUCGAACGGAAAGGCCCUGCUUUUGUGGGGUGCUCGAGUAGCGAACGGGUGAGUAACACGUGAGUAACCUGCCCUUGACUUUGGGAUAACUUCAGGAAACUGGGGCUAAUACCGGAUAGGAGCUCCUGCUGCACGGUGGGGGUUGGAAAGUUUCGGCGGUUGGGGAUGGACUCGCGGCUUAUCAGCUUGUUGGUGGGGUAGUGGCUUACCAAGGCUUUGACGGGUAGCCGGCCUGAGAGGGUGACCGGCCACAUUGGGACUGAGAUACGGCCCAGACUCCUACGGGAGGCAGCAGUGGGGAAUAUUGCACAAUGGGCGGAAGCCUGAUGCAGCAACGCCGCGUGCGGGAUGACGGCCUUCGGGUUGUAAACCGCUUUCGCCUGUGACGAAGCGUGAGUGACGGUAAUGGGUAAAGAAGCACCGGCUAACUACGUGCCAGCAGCCGCGGUGAUACGUAGGGUGCGAGCGUUGUCCGGAUUUAUUGGGCGUAAAGGGCUCGUAGGUGGUUGAUCGCGUCGGAAGUGUAAUCUUGGGGCUUAACCCUGAGCGUGCUUUCGAUACGGGUUGACUUGAGGAAGGUAGGGGAGAAUGGAAUUCCUGGUGGAGCGGUGGAAUGCGCAGAUAUCAGGAGGAACACCAGUGGCGAAGGCGGUUCUCUGGGCCUUUCCUGACGCUGAGGAGCGAAAGCGUGGGGAGCGAACAGGCUUAGAUACCCUGGUAGUCCACGCUGUAAACGGUGGGUACUAGGUGUGGGGUCCAUUCCACGGGUUCCGUGCCGUAGCUAACGCUUUAAGUACCCCGCCUGGGGAGUACGGCCGCAAGGCUAAAACUCAAAGGAAUUGACGGGGCUCCGCACAAGCGGCGGAGCAUGCGGAUUAAUUCGAUGCAACGCGUAGAACCUUACCUGGGUUUGACAUGGAUCGGGAGCGCUCAGAGAUGGGUGUGCCUCUUUUGGGGUCGGUUCACAGGUGGUGCAUGGCUGUCGUCAGCUCGUGUCGUGAGAUGUUGGGUUAAGUCCCGCAACGAGCGCAACCCUUGUUCACUGUUGCCAGCACGUUAUGGUGGGGACUCAGUGGAGACCGCCGGGGUCAACUCGGAGGAAGGUGGGGAUGACGUCAAGUCAUCAUGCCCCUUAUGUCCAGGGCUUCACGCAUGCUACAAUGGCUGGUACAGAGAGUGGCGAGCCUGUGAGGGUGAGCGAAUCUCGGAAAGCCGGUCUCAGUUCGGAUUGGGGUCUGCAACUCGACCUCAUGAAGUCGGAGUCGCUAGUAAUCGCAGAUCAGCAACGCUGCGGUGAAUACGUUCCCGGG
RNAcentral lists this ribosomal RNA (1343 nucleotides) under uncultured bacterium. RNAcentral describes it as "16S ribosomal RNA". It matches the Rfam family "Bacterial small subunit ribosomal RNA", at positions 28 to 1378 of the family's 1533-position model. The record is from RNAcentral.